UUUGAGAGAGGGAGCUCAGGGAAUGGUGGCAGGGUAGUCACAGGGAACCGUGAGUUGGAGGGGCAGAUGGAAAGUCUGGCUAGAUUUGCGUGGAGAGGGGGGAGAACUGAAGAAGAGUUAGUAGAGCUCUGAGGCUGGGACCUGAAGAGAUCUCAACAUGGUGUACCGAGCACCAGAAGCUUCCCACAGAGGUUGAUCAUGGUGAGCUCUGGAGGAGAGAGAUUCCUCAGAGAAAGUGGGGCCUCUCAAAGCCAUCCCAGUAACCCAGCAGCAGGGAUUAGUGCUCAGAAGUGACAUGGAAAACAGACAGUUGCAGCACAUUGCUGGCUCAGUCAUCCUGAGAUUGACCCACACACCCAGGUAGAACUAUUAAUGAACUAUUUCCUCACUGGACCUGAGACAGCAGGUCUAUAUUACAGCCAGGAUUGACGUUCUGAGAUCGAUCCACCAGCGUUCGAUUUAACAGGUUUAGUAAAGACCCACAAAAUCAACAGCAGAUCGCGCUCCAGUCAACCCCUGUACUCUACUCCCAAUCAGAAGAGUAAGAAAAAUGACUUUGACCAGCUGUUGGAGGGGUAAAUCACCACAGGACUGGGGACACCCAAGCCAGUGGCUCCUACACUGAGCCCGGAUCAGCUGCUAGUCCUGGCUAGGCUGGAGGCAGGAGAGGACAGGGACUUCUUCUUCCCCUGAAAGGAGGGGUUGGGGCUGUGUCAGACCCACCCUUAAAAACUUCCCCCAGCUGCAGGAAGCUCAGCAUCCUCCCCUGCUUCUUCCCACCAUUGUUCAUCAGCUAUGUGGGGGAGGGGUAACUGUACAAAGAACUGCUCCCCCAUCCACUCAACCCCCACAUCUGGAACUCCUAUACCCAGAAACCUCUGCCAAGCCCCAGCUGGUACAUCCAGAACCUCCCCUCCCUCCAGUCCUCCAUACCCAAACCCCACACUACUGAACCUCAACCCCUGCCUCCAGACCCCCACCCCUGAACCCAGACUACCCCCCACUGGGCUCCCUGCACUCAAAUCCCCACCCUGAUGCCCCACCCCCUGAACCCCCACAUCCAGAACCCCACACCACUGACCUCCAACUAGCUCCACCCACUAAGACCCCACCACACACACACCCAGACCCCUCCGCUGUGCCCCAAGCAUUUUCACCUGGAAGUGCCUGCAGAGUCCCAUUGCCCCUGACCUGGAAUCCCACCCACAAUGAGCCUCUGUGCAUUCAGAACCCCCCCUCACCUAGUGCUCCCAGUGAGCUGCCUGCACCCAGAUUGUCCCACACAGAAUCCUCUCACCCCACACUUAGAUCCCUCCACACUUGGAUCCUGCCUGCCCCACACCUGG
Long non-coding RNA from Mauremys reevesii (Reeves's turtle), 1346 nucleotides. RefSeq lists it as uncharacterized. The transcript has 4 exons. The record is from RefSeq and is a predicted model, not a curated record. Lineage: Eukaryota; Metazoa; Chordata; Testudines; Geoemydidae.